CCCUUAGAUGUUCUGGGCUGCACGCGUGUUACAAUCGGGAGUACAACAAGAUUGCAAAUCCUAGUGGAUGAGUGGUUCUUCGAAAUUUUCUGAAGACUGGGAUAGUUGAUUGAAAUUAUUCAACUCAAACGAGGAAUUCCUUGUAAUUGUAAUUCAUUAUAUUGUAAUGAAUACGUCCCUGCCCUUUGUACACACCGCCCGUCGCUCCUACCGAUUGAACGAUCCGGUGAAUUAUUUGGAGUAGCUCUGGAAGUUGCAGAACUUCCUAUGUCACGAAAUUUUGUAAACCUUAUCGUUUAGAGGAAGGAAAAGUCGCAACA
Molecule: ribosomal RNA, 320 nt
Filed under: uncultured eukaryote
Lineage: Eukaryota
Description: partial 18S ribosomal RNA
Rfam family: Eukaryotic small subunit ribosomal RNA
Source: RNAcentral